UACGUAGGGUCCGAGCGUUUGUCCGGAAUUACUGGGCGUAAAGAGCUCGUAGGCGGUGUGUCGCGUCGGCCGUGAAAACCUGCAGCUUAACUGUGGGCUUGCGGUCGAUACGGGCAUCACUGGAGUUCGGCAGGGGAGACUGGAAUUCCUGGUGUAGCGGUGAAAUGCGCAGAUAUCAGGAGGAACACCGGUGGCGAAGGCGGGUCUCUGGGCCAUAACUGACGCUGAGGAGCGAAAGCAUGGGGGAGCGAACAGG
Molecule: ribosomal RNA, 256 nt
Filed under: uncultured bacterium
Lineage: Bacteria
Description: partial 16S ribosomal RNA
Rfam family: Bacterial small subunit ribosomal RNA
Source: RNAcentral